UACGUAGGUGGCAAGCGUUGUCCGGAAUUAUUGGGCGUAAAGCGCGCGCAGGCGGUUCGUUAAGUCAGAUGUGAAAGCCCCGGGCUCAACCUGGGAACUGCAUUUGAAACUGGCGGGCUUGAGUGUGGCAGAGGGGGGUGGAAUUCCGCGUGUAGCAGUGAAAUGCGUAGAGAUGCGGAGGAACACCGAUGGCGAAGGCAGCCCCCUGGGCCAACACUGACGCUCAGGCACGAAAGCGUGGGGAGCAAACAGG
RNAcentral lists this ribosomal RNA (253 nucleotides) under uncultured bacterium. RNAcentral describes it as "partial 16S ribosomal RNA". It matches the Rfam family "Bacterial small subunit ribosomal RNA", at positions 524 to 776 of the family's 1533-position model. The record is from RNAcentral.